AACUUUCAGCAACGGAUCUCUUGGCUCUCGCAUCGAUGAAGAACGCAGCGAAAUGCGAUAAGUAAUGUGAAUUGCAGAAUUCAGUGAAUCAUCGAAUCUUUGAACGCACCUUGCGCUCCUUGGUAUUCCGAGGAGCAUGCCUGUUUGAGUGUUA
This 154-nucleotide ribosomal RNA is filed under the name Ceriporiopsis sp. PRM 899297. RNAcentral's name for it is "5.8S ribosomal RNA". It matches the Rfam family "5.8S ribosomal RNA". Rfam says of the family: 5.8S ribosomal RNA (5.8S rRNA) is a component of the large subunit of the eukaryotic ribosome. RNAcentral also lists the same sequence under 2 other names. Lineage: Eukaryota; Fungi; Basidiomycota; Agaricomycetes; Polyporales; Meruliaceae. The record is from RNAcentral.